Carassius gibelio (silver crucian carp) is the source of this 80-nucleotide non-coding RNA. The record is from the annotation of a RefSeq genome assembly. Lineage: Eukaryota; Metazoa; Chordata; Actinopteri; Cypriniformes; Cyprinidae.
GGCCCACAUAUCUGUGGCGCAAUGGAUAGCGCAUUGGACUUCUAAUUCAAAGGUUGUGGGUUCGAGUCCCACCAGAGUCG